AAUAAGAUUAUUUUUCAGUUUUUAGAUGUAAUGUUUUGACUCUUCAUCUUAUUUGAAAUUUUUUUUGCGAUUAAUAUUUUUGUUGUUACUAGAUGAUAAAAUAUGAAUAGUACUUUAUGCAUGACUAAUUUUUUAAAGUUUUUAUAGAAAAUUUUCAAAUAAGACGAAUGGUCAAAUGUUGGGCAUGAAGUUAUUAUGGAAAAACGAAAA
Molecule: microRNA precursor, 210 nt
Filed under: Oryza brachyantha (malo sina)
Lineage: Eukaryota; Viridiplantae; Streptophyta; Magnoliopsida; Poales; Poaceae
Description: MIR812 microRNA precursor family
Rfam family: MIR812 microRNA precursor family
Source: Rfam by way of RNAcentral